Molecule: transfer RNA, 72 nt
Filed under: bacterium
Lineage: Bacteria
Description: tRNA-Arg
Rfam family: tRNA
About the family: Transfer RNA (tRNA) molecules are approximately 80 nucleotides in length. Their secondary structure includes four short double-helical elements and three loops (D, anti-codon, and T loops).
Source: RNAcentral
GCUCCCAUAGUAUAGUGGAUAGUAUAGAGCCCCGCGAAGGCUUUGGCCGGAGUUCGAAUCUCCGUGGGAGCA